This 539-nucleotide ribosomal RNA is filed under the name Bifidobacterium pseudocatenulatum. RNAcentral's name for it is "bacterial SSU rRNA". It matches the Rfam family "Bacterial small subunit ribosomal RNA", at positions 161 to 711 of the family's 1533-position model. The record is from RNAcentral. Lineage: Bacteria; Bacillati; Actinomycetota; Actinomycetes; Bifidobacteriales; Bifidobacteriaceae.
UGGUAAUGCCGGAUGCUCCGACUCCUCGCAUGGGGUGUCGGGAAAGAUUUCAUCGGUAUGGGAUGGGGUCGCGUCCUAUCAGGUAGUCGGCGGGGUAACGGCCCACCGAGCCUACGACGGGUAGCCGGCCUGAGAGGGCGACCGGCCACAUUGGGACUGAGAUACGGCCCAGACUCCUACGGGAGGCAGCAGUGGGGAAUAUUGCACAAUGGGCGCAAGCCUGAUGCAGCGACGCCGCGUGCGGGAUGACGGCCUUCGGGUUGUAAACCGCUUUUGAUCGGGAGCAAGCCUUCGGGUGAGUGUACCUUUCGAAUAAGCACCGGCUAACUACGUGCCAGCAGCCGCGGUAAUACGUAGGGUGCAAGCGUUAUCCGGAAUUAUUGGGCGUAAAGGGCUCGUAGGCGGUUCGUCGCGUCCGGUGUGAAAGUCCAUCGCUUAACGGUGGAUCUGCGCCGGGUACGGGCGGGCUGGAGUGCGGUAGGGGAGACUGGAAUUCCCGGUGUAACGGUGGAAUGUGUAGAUAUCGGAAAGAAACACCA